GGUUAAGUUAGAAAGGGCGCACGGUGGAUGCCUUGGCACUAGGAGCCGAAGAAGGACGGCACUAACACCGAUAUGCUUCGGGGAGCUGUAAGUGAGCGAUGAUCCGGAGAUUUCCGAAUGGGGAAACCCAG
Molecule: ribosomal RNA, 131 nt
Filed under: uncultured bacterium
Lineage: Bacteria
Description: partial 23S ribosomal RNA
Rfam family: Bacterial large subunit ribosomal RNA
Source: RNAcentral